This is an RNA transcript of Daphnia magna, 3486 nucleotides long. RefSeq lists it as uncharacterized. NCBI's taxonomy places the organism in Eukaryota, Metazoa, Arthropoda, Branchiopoda, Diplostraca, Daphniidae. The transcript is spliced from 4 exons. The record is from RefSeq and is a predicted model, not a curated record.
GCAAUCCAUUUGGAGGAUGGCAAAGUUCUUGUAAAAGCACAAGUUCACCACUCACAGUCUCUUAGAAAAAAGGAACUGAUGCCUUGGGGAAGUAUUAGUAGCAAUAAAACCAUAAUUGCUGGCCAUUGCCAGUGUACAGCUGGGCUUGGUGGUGUUUGCUGUCAUGUUUGUGCAGUUCUUUACAGUGUAAUUAGUGCUACAUCACUACCUUGCACUGCAAAGGAAAAUCAAUGGUUAGACACACACCCCAGACGUUCAGUAGCUCUUAUAAACAAAAUCGCGGAUCUCAAUACCAGGGCCUCCCCGACCCUAAAAUGACAGGAGUGCAAAUUUUUUUUCCCGGCUUUGCCGCCCCUUAAAAAAAUUUAUAUACGAAAACAUAUAGUUGAUUUUAACAUAAGCUUUAGUUAACAUCUGGAUUAGUUAUAUUUCUGGAUAAAUAACAGUAUCACUUAAAAUCAUACACGAUACAAGAUUGCUGAUAAAUGACGAGACACGAGAAUAUCUUGCAAAUUGAAUUGCAAAUCGAAUAGUGAGACUUAGAUCGGCACUUUACGCGAUUUUUUUUGGGCAAAUUCCUCAAUCGCUUCAUUGAGAUCAAUAUUUUCGACAAUUUCUCUUUCGAUUGAAAUCAUUGCUAACCCAUCUAGUUUUUCUUGUCCCAUUAAUGAGCGAAGAUAUGUUUUUAUUAGUUUCAAUUUGCAAAAACUUCUUUCUCCUUGCGCAACAGAAACUGGAAGGGUCAGCAAAAUUCGUAAUGCAAUCACAGUAUUAGGAUAAACUGACGACAAUCCAUUUUGAACGAUAAAGGUCAAGGCAGCAAGAGGACAAGAAUCAAUUAUUUUUCCGUCUUCGCUUGGUAAAGGAAAUCGAUGGGAGAGAGAUCGCAAUUCGAUAAAAAGAUCAUCUGGAGAAAUGUCGCAUUUUUCUCCGACGGACAAUGCGUUAUUUAAGGCAGUACAACAUGUUUUCAAUUGGUAAUCGUCAAGUUUCUGAAUAGUUGGAAUAUCGUAUAGAAAACGGAAAAGAGAAUUGUGUUCAUUUAACAAAUCAAACCUUUCAACGACUGAAUUAAUGGCAGUGUCAAUCACGUAAAAAAAUAUUUCCGUCCGAAACUUAGCCAUUGGAUCCAAAAUCGGUUCAUCUCUUGAUUCAUAAUUGAAUUGACGACGAGUUCGACGAACUCGGACUGUUGGUUCAGAUGGAAAAUUUGGCUCAACUUCUAUUUCUUUUGCAAGUUCUUUACCAGUAGCGAUAACUCCAGCGAAGCCCUCGUCGGAUCUUAGAUUGACGAGAAACUGUUUUGUUCGAUCCAGAUGUUUUGUGGCUUGCGACAAAUCUGUUUCCACUCGUUGAAGAAUUUUACUAGUAACAUUAAUUUCAAAAAGAACAUCAUGCCACAGAACAAGAGAGCAGAUUCGACACUCAAAAUUCCAUUAGAAGAUAUGCGGGGUCAAGGCUAUGACAACGGUGCAAACAUGAGCGGUAGACAUAACGGCGUUCAAAAGCGAAUCCAAGAUCUGAAUCCGAGAGCUUUGUUUGUGCCUUGUAACGCGCACAGUUUGAAUCUCGUUCUUAAUGACGCUGCAAGCUGUUGCGUAGCGGUCGUUUCUUUUUUUGGCAUUAUUCAAGCCCUUUAUGUGUUUUUCUCUUCGUCAACUAAACGCUGGCAAGUUCUUCUUCAAUUUGUCCCUAACCUAACACUUAAGUCAUUAAGUGAAACUCGCUGGGAAAGUCGUAUCGAUGCCAUCAAGCCCCUUCGCUAUCAACUUGGAAAUGUGUAUGACGCCUUACAGCAUCUGGCAAACGAUGAAACUUUAGUGGGGCCCAAUGGAACAAAAACGCGUGCUGACGCAUUUGCACUAGCAACAAACAUCGCCAAAUUCAACUUUAUCUGCUCUCUUGUUCUGUGGCAUGAUGUUCUUUUUGAAAUUAAUGUUGAAUGAAAAUUCUUCAACGAGUGGAAACAGAUUUGUCGCAAGCCACAAAACAUCUGGAUCGAACAAAACAGUUUCUCGUCAAUCUAAGAUCCGACGAGGGCUUCGCUGGAGUUAUCGCUACUGGUAAAGAACUUGCAGAAGAAAUAGAAGUUGAGCCAAAUUUUCCAUCUGAACCAACAGUCCGAGUUCGUCGAACUCGUCGUCAAUUCAAUUAUGAAUCAAGAGAUGAACCGAUUUUGGAUCCAAUGGCUAAGUUUCGGACGGAAAUAUUUUUUUACGUGAUUGACACUGCCAUUAAUUCAGUCGUUGAAAGGUUUGAUUUGUUAAAUGAACACAAUUCUCUUUUCCGUUUUCUAUACGAUAUUCCAACUAUUCAGAAACUUGACGAUUACCAAUUGAAAACAUGUUGUACUGCCUUAAAUAACGCAUUGUCCGUCGGAGAAAAAUGCGACAUUUCUCCAGAUGAUCUUUUUAUCGAAUUGCGAUCUCUCUCCCAUCGAUUUCCUUUACCAAGCGAAGACGGAAAAAUAAUUGAUUCUAGUCCUCUUGCUGCCUUGACCUUUAUCGUUCAAAAUGGAUUGUCGUCAGUUUAUCCUAAUACUGUGAUUGCAUUACGAAUUUUGCUGACCCUUCCAGUUUCUGUUGCGCAAGGAGAAAAGUUUUUGCAAAUUGAAACUAAUAAAAACAUAUCUUCGCUCGUUAAUGGGACAAGAAAAACUAGAUGGGUUAGCAAUGAUUUCAAUCGAAAGAGAAAUUGUCGAAAAUAUUGAUCUCAAUGAAGCGAUUGAGGAAUUUGCCCAAAAAAAAUCGCGUAAAGUGCCGAUCUAAGUCUCACUAUUCGAUUUGCAAUUCAAUUUGCAAGAUAUUCUCGUGUCUCGUCAUUUAUCAGCAAUCUUGUAUCGUGUAUGAUUUUAAGUGAUACUGUUAUUUAUCCAGAAAUAUAACUAAUCCAGAUGUUAACUAAAGCUUAUGUUAAAAUCAACUAUAUGUUUUCGUAUAUAAAUUUUUUUAAGGGGCGGCAAAGCCGGGAAAAAAAAUUUGCACUCCUGUCAUUUUAGGGUCGGGGAGGCCCUGAAUCUAAGUAAAAUAUAAAUACGUAUCUGAGUCGUGACUUAACCAAUUCAAACUCAAACUUGGACUUUUAAGAUAGUCUGCUUGAACUACAAAACAUAUUAUCCAUCUAUGCCGCCCCUCAGAAAAAGUCAAGGGUGCAACCGCACACCUUGCACACCCUUAAGGGAGGCCCUGCUCAAUACGUCACGCAAGGGAGAAGAAGUGUCUGAAGAAACAAGAAGAAUCUGUCAAAAAAGGAAACUUUAUUCAAGUAACAGCGUUCCAACAAUGACUCCUGAGGGAAAUAAAAAUUCUUCGUGGUCAGGUACAAGGUACAAGAACUUUGCCAUCCUCCAAAUGGAUUGCUGAGAGCGCAGAGACCCAACCACUUUCCACGUACUUGAUUGCUUCAUGAAUGGUCUUGAUUGCAUUAAGUUGCAUUUUUGUAUCCCUGCUGUCUUGCAAUUAAAUACAUGUAAAGCUCAUGCUCUCU